GUUCGUCAAAGUAUUUCUACUCAUUACUCACUAUAAUAAAAAUUAUAAAUAAAAUGUGUUGUUAUUAAAAUGUGCGUGGCCCACGACAAGCGUCUAUAGAGUUUAUAGUAUUAACAGAUCGAUCUAACAUAGAAUCUAUAAAUGAAUCGAAAAUACAUAUUUAGUGAUGUCCUUUGUAAAUUGUAGGUACAUUGUAGGUAUAAGGUACCUAUUUAGUUGGAAGGUACGAGCACUUUACAAAAAGAGUACCGUAAAAAUCGAGAAAAAAUCUAACGCUUCCAAUUUUUUUUUUUUUUUAUGUAUAAUUUAAAUAGAGUUGAAAUUUAAUUUUAAUAAAACGUAUGUUCAAAAUGUAUCAAAUUAUUUUACAGUAAAACCAAGUACACCGAUUCAAAUUCGAUCACUGUAGUGCUCCACAAACAUUUUUGAAUUUAACACAGAAAAAAACUUAACUAACUUGGAAAAUAUUUAAAGUUAAAGACGAGAAAAUUAUUUUCGUAGAAAAUUAUGAAAAACCUAACAAAUGUAUGCAUACAUAUUAUGUGUGUGCCAGUGCCUGUGUUACGUCGAACUCUCAAUUCUUAUAAUUCUGUGAAAUUGCAGAAAAAUACUCUAUUUCAUGAAAUAAACAACGUCAUUGCCGAGUAUGUGAAAUCGGCAACUUUUCUAGCAAUUUUACGGAAUCGGCAGAAUUUCAACACAUUCUUGGAUGAGUUUUUUGAAUUCUUGAAUAGUUAUGUACCAUUCACUAUGUGCGAGAUCCACAUAGAUAGUGUGAGUUGCACAUCGAACAAUUGCACGUGUCAAAAAAAUAGCAUGGUAUGUAAUUUAAAGUGUCAACC
Cinara cedri is the source of this 842-nucleotide non-coding RNA. Lineage: Eukaryota; Metazoa; Arthropoda; Insecta; Hemiptera; Aphididae. The record is from the annotation of a GenBank genome assembly.